UGAGGUGGCAAAGUUUGCAGAUGAUACUAAAGUGCUCAAGAUAAUUAAGACCAAAGCAGACUGUGAAGAACUUCAAAAAGAUCUCACAAAACUAAGUGAUUGGGCAACAAAAUGGCAAAUGAAAUUUAAUGUGGAUAAAUGUAAAGUAAUGCACAUUGGAAAAAAUAACCCCAACUAUACAUACAAUAUGGUGGGGGCUAAUUUAGCUACAAUGAGUCAGGAAAAAGAUCUUGGAGUCAUCAUGGAUAGUUCUCUGAAGAUGUCCACGCAAUGUGCAGAGGUGGUCAAAAAAGCAAACAGGAUGUUAGGAAUCAUUAAAAAGGGGAUAGAGAAUAAGAUGGAGAAUAUAUUAUUGCCCUUAUAUAAAUCAAUGGUACGCCCACAUCUCGAAUACUGUGUACAGAUGUGGUCUCCUCAUCUCAAAAAAGAUAUACUGGCACUAGAAAAGGUUCAGAAAAGGGCAACUAAAAUUAUUAGGGGUUUGGAACGGAUCCCAUAUGAGGAGAGAUUAAAGAGGCUAGGACUCUUCAGCUUGGAAAAGAGGAGACUAAGGGGGGAUAUGAUAGAGAUAUAUAAAAUCAUGAGUGAUGUGGAAAAAGUGGAUAAGGAAAAGUUAUUUACUUAUUCCCAUAAUACAAGAACUAGGGGUCACCAAAUGAAAUUAAUAGGCAGCAGGUUUAAAACAAAUAAAAGGAAGUUCUUCUUCACGCAGCGCACAGUCAACUUGUGGAACUCCUUACCUGAGGAGUUUGUGAAGACUAGGACUAUAACAGCGUUUAAAAGAGAACUGGAUAAAUUCAUGGAGGUUAAGUCCAUUAAUGGCUAUUAGCCAGGAUGGGUAAGGAAUGGUGUCCCUAGCCUCUGUUUGUCAGAGGAUGGAGAUGGAUGGCAGGAGAGAGAUCACUUGAUCAUUGCCUGUUAGGUUCACUCCCUCUGGGGCACCUGGCAUUGGCCACUGUUGGUAGACAUGAUACUGGGCUAGAUGGACCUUUGGUCUGACCCGGUACGGCCGUUCUUAUG
This 1020-nucleotide long non-coding RNA is filed under the name Chrysemys picta bellii (western painted turtle). Its description in RNAcentral is "lncRNA (ENSCPBG00000005752.1)". Lineage: Eukaryota; Metazoa; Chordata; Testudines; Emydidae. The record is from RNAcentral.